GGAGGUUUCUCAUCGUAGUGAUA
RNAcentral lists this microRNA (23 nucleotides) under Caenorhabditis briggsae. RNAcentral describes it as "Cbr-Mir-36-o24_5p* (star (passenger))". Lineage: Eukaryota; Metazoa; Nematoda; Chromadorea; Rhabditida; Rhabditidae. The record is from RNAcentral.